Long non-coding RNA from Gordionus sp. m RMFG-2023, 235 nucleotides. RefSeq lists it as uncharacterized. The transcript is spliced from 3 exons. NCBI's taxonomy places the organism in Eukaryota, Metazoa, Nematomorpha, Gordioida, Chordodea, Parachordodidae. The record is from RefSeq and is a predicted model, not a curated record.
GGUAAAAGUGCCAUAUAUUACUAUUGCCGCAACAAAAAAUGCGGCGGCAGAGCAAAACUCACCAUAAAUUGUGACUUUAGUAUAACUAAAAGUCAUGCAGAGACCUGUAAACCAAUCCAAAAUGUUUUACCUUUAUCUUCUAAUAUUAUCUACUCAAUUCAAAUUUUAAAGGUGAUAUUCUAAUAGCAAGUACUUCCCAAGGGCAAUCACUGAACCUUCCUAAUCAAGGUUAAAU